RNAcentral lists this RNase P RNA (315 nucleotides) under chicken gut metagenome. Its description in RNAcentral is "Bacterial RNase P class A". It matches the Rfam family "Bacterial RNase P class A". Rfam says of the family: Ribonuclease P (RNase P) is a ubiquitous endoribonuclease, found in archaea, bacteria and eukarya as well as chloroplasts and mitochondria. Its best characterised activity is the generation of mature 5'-ends of tRNAs by cleaving the 5'-leader elements of precursor-tRNAs. The record is from RNAcentral.
GUAGUCGCUUGAGUUAUAUCAAGAGGAAAGUCCGGACACCGUAGGGCAAAAGUGCUAGAUAACGUCUAGUGAGGGUGACCUUAAGGAAAGUGCAACAGAAAAGAACCGCCAUUUAUGGUAAGGGUGAAAAUGUGAGGUAAGAGCUCACAAGUAUGUAUAGUGAUAUAUGUACUGUGUAAACCCCACUUGGUGCAACACCAAAAAAGGAAGGUUAAGAUGGCCCGUCGUCUUCCGUGGUUGGUGGCUUGAUGCAUAUAGUGAUAUAUGUACUAGAUAAAUGACUACACACGACAGAAUCCGGCUUACAGAAAUACU